GUGUCAGCCGCCGCGGUAAUACGUAGGGGGCGAGCGUUGUCCGGAAUUAUUGGGCGUAAAGGGCGCGCAGGCGGUUUCUUAAGUCUGAUGUGAAAUCUCGUGGCUUAACCGCGAGCGGUCGUUGGAAACUGGGAAACUUGAGUACAGAAGAGGAGAGUGGAAUUCCACGUGUAGCGGUGAAAUGCGUAGAGAUGUGGAGGAACACCAGUGGCGAAGGCGGCUCUCUGGUCUGUAACUGACGCUGAGGUGCGAAAGCGUGGGGAGCAAACAGGAUUAGAUACCCCCGUAGUCC
This 292-nucleotide ribosomal RNA is filed under the name uncultured prokaryote. RNAcentral's name for it is "partial 16S ribosomal RNA". It matches the Rfam family "Bacterial small subunit ribosomal RNA", at positions 505 to 796 of the family's 1533-position model. The record is from RNAcentral.